ACUUUGAUUCUGGCUCGGGACGAACGCUGGCGGCGCGCCUAACACAUGCAAGUCGAGCGGGAAGCUUUUUAAGGAUUCUUCGGAUGAAUUAAAAAGUGGAGAGCGGCGGACGGGUGAGUAACGCGUGAGAAACCUGCCCUAUACAGGGGGAUAGCCAUUGGAAACGAUGAUUAAUACCCCAUAUGACCACAGUAUCGCAUGAUACAGCGGUGAAAACUCCGGUGGUAUAGGGUGGUCUCGCGUCUGAUUAGCUAGUUGGUGGGGUAACGGCCUACCAAGGCGACGAUCAGUAGCCGGCCUGAGAGGGUGACCGGCCACACUGGAACUGAGACACGGUCCAGACUCCUACGGGAGGCAGCAGUGGGGAAUAUUGCACAAUGGGCGAAAGCCUGAUGCAGCGACGCCGCGUGAACGAUGAAGGCUUUCGAGUCGUAAAGUUCUGUUCUUGGGGAAGAUAACGACGGUACCCAAGGAGAAAGCACCGGCUAAAUACGUGCCAGCAGCCGCGGUA
Molecule: ribosomal RNA, 511 nt
Filed under: uncultured bacterium
Lineage: Bacteria
Description: bacterial SSU rRNA
Rfam family: Bacterial small subunit ribosomal RNA
Source: RNAcentral